GGGGGCGACCGGUUUCGACGGGGAUAUUGACGCCAUCGUCGCAUGUCGAGAUCUCGGGAACUCGUAAAAUUCCGGGAAAAACGCAACUGCCAACCAAGAACUGGCACUCGCAGCCUAAUUUAGGCUGAGACGUCGUUCCAUCUGAGGCCCGCGGGGGUGGAAUGGCGCGAUGCAGCGGGCUGGUCCCACGCCGGUGCUCAGCGGCGGGGGGCGAGACAAUACUGGGCUAGCGGCGAUUCUAAGCCGGCCGAUAGGCGUGGGUCGCUGCGAAGCUUAAAGAAUCGGCUACACAUGUAGACGCGAUGUGCCGACGAUCUUCGGACAGGGGUUCAACUCCCCUCGCCUCCACCA
RNAcentral lists this transfer-messenger RNA (351 nucleotides) under Nitrospira sp. It matches the Rfam family "transfer-messenger RNA". From Rfam's summary of the family: Bacterial tmRNA, also known as 10Sa RNA or SsrA, is named for its dual tRNA and mRNA-like properties. Its role is to liberate the mRNA from a stalled ribosome. RNAcentral also lists the same sequence under 2 other names. The record is from RNAcentral. Lineage: Bacteria; Pseudomonadati; Nitrospirota; Nitrospiria; Nitrospirales; Nitrospiraceae.